Molecule: long non-coding RNA, 208 nt
Filed under: Elaeis guineensis (African oil palm)
Lineage: Eukaryota; Viridiplantae; Streptophyta; Magnoliopsida; Arecales; Arecaceae
Description: long non-coding RNA (EGUI_LNC041385)
Source: RNAcentral
UAGGCUAGGUCAUGUGUACAAGAAUAGGAUAGACAGGUUAAUCAAGAAGGAUGUCUUUGAAAUUAAUGAUUGUGAAUUAUUACUAACCUGUGAAUCCUGUCUACUUGGUAAGAUGACCAAAUCACUUUUUAAGAAAAAAAGUGAAUGAGCCAGUGAUAUUUUAGGUCUAAUACAUAGUGAUGUAUAUAGACCCAUGAACAUAGGCACC